RNAcentral lists this ribosomal RNA (492 nucleotides) under uncultured bacterium. RNAcentral's name for it is "partial 16S ribosomal RNA". It matches the Rfam family "Bacterial small subunit ribosomal RNA", at positions 29 to 507 of the family's 1533-position model. The record is from RNAcentral.
AGUGAACGCUGGCGGUAGGCCUAACACAUGCAAGUCGAACGGCAGCACAGUAAGAGCUUGCUCUUACGGGUGGCGAGUGGCGGACGUGUGAGGAAUACAUCGGAAUCUACUUUUUCGUGGGGGAUAACGUAGGGAAACUUACGCUAAUACCGCAUACGACCUACGGGUGAAAGCAGGGGGUCUUCGGACCUUGCGCGAUUGAAUGAGCCGAUGUCGGAUUAGCUAGUUGGCGGGGUAAAGGCCCACCAAGGCGACGAUCCGUAGCUGGUCUGAGAGGAUGAUCAGCCACACUGGAACUGAGACACGGUCCAGACUCCUACGGGAGGCAGCAGUGGGGAAUAUUGGACAAUGGGCGCAAGCCUGAUCCAGCCAUACCGCGUGGGUGAAGAAGGCCUUCGGGUUGUAAAGCCCUUUUGUUGGGAAAGAAAAGCAGCAGGUUAAUACCACGCUGUUCUGACGGUACCCAAAGAAUAAGCACCGGCUAACUUCGUG